GACGAACGCUGGCGGCGUGCUUAACACAUGCAAGUCGGACGGUCGGCACUGGAAGGUUCGCUGGAAGGUGCCGGUAGUGGCGGACGGGUGAGUAACGCGUGAGGACAUGGCUCCAGGAGGGGGAUAAACGUUUGGAAACGGACGCUAAGACCCCAUAUGCCGGAAGGUGAAAAUGGUGCAAGCCAGCCUGGAGAGUGACUCGCGUCCUAUCAGCUAGUUGGUGGGGUGAAGGCCUACCAAGGCGAUGACGGGUAGCCGACCUGAGAGGGUGGCCGGCCACACUGGAACUGAGAUACGGUCCAGACUCCUACGGGAGGCAGCAGUGGGGAAUAUUGGGCAAUGGGCGCAAGCCUGACCCAGCGACGCCGCGUGGGGGAAGAAGUCUUUCGGGAUGUAAACCCUUGUUGUACGGGACGAAACGAAUGACGGUACCGUACGAGGAAGCCCCGGCAAACUACGUG
This 461-nucleotide ribosomal RNA is filed under the name uncultured bacterium. RNAcentral describes it as "bacterial SSU rRNA". It matches the Rfam family "Bacterial small subunit ribosomal RNA", at positions 28 to 507 of the family's 1533-position model. The record is from RNAcentral.